ACACCUUCCAUUUGCAGGACUGAGUGCGAGUGUAAAUUGUUGUUUAUCCCCUGUGUGUUGGCCCUGCGAUGGACUGGUGAACUGUCCAGUCCAUCGCCUGUUAAU
This is a long non-coding RNA of Melanotaenia boesemani (Boeseman's rainbowfish), 105 nucleotides long. RefSeq lists it as uncharacterized. The transcript is spliced from 3 exons. The record is from RefSeq and is a predicted model, not a curated record. Lineage: Eukaryota; Metazoa; Chordata; Actinopteri; Atheriniformes; Melanotaeniidae.